AGAGUUUGAUCCUGGCUCAGGACGAACGCUGGCGGCGUGCUUAACACAUGCAAGUCGAACGGAAAGGCCCCUUCGGGGGUACUCGAGUGGCGAACGGGUGAGUAACACGUGGGUGAUCUGCCCUGCACUUUGGGAUAAGCCUGGGAAACUGGGUCUAAUACCGAAUAGGACCGCAUGCUUCAUGGUGUGUGGUGGAAAGCUUUUGCGGUGUGGGAUGGGCCCGCGGCCUAUCAGCUUGUUGGUGGGGUAAUGGCCUACCAAGGCGACGACGGGUAGCCGGCCUGAGAGGGUGUCCGGCCACACUGGGACUGAGAUACGGCCCAGACUCCUACGGGAGGCAGCAGUGGGGAAUAUUGCACAAUGGGCGCAAGCCUGAUGCAGCGACGCCGCGUGGGGGAUGACGGCCUUCGGGUUGUAAACCUCUUUCAGUAUCGGCGAAGCUCCAGGAUUUUUCUUGGGGUGACGGUAGGUACAGAAGAAGCACCGGCCAACUACGUGCCAGCAGCCGCGGUAAUACGUAGGGUGCGAGCGUUACUCGGAAUUACUGGGCGUAAAGCGUGCGUAGGUGGUUAUUUAAGUCCGUUGUGAAAGCCCUGGGCUCAACCUGGGAACUGCAGUGGAUACUGGAUGACUAGAAUGUGGUAGAGGGUAGCGGAAUUCCUGGUGUAGCAGUGAAAUGCGUAGAGAUCAGGAGGAACAUCCAUGGCGAAGGCAGCUACCUGGACCAACAUUGACACUGAGGCACGAAAGCGUGGGGAGCAAACAGGAUUAGAUACCCUGGUAGUCCAA
Molecule: ribosomal RNA, 789 nt
Filed under: uncultured bacterium
Lineage: Bacteria
Description: bacterial SSU rRNA
Rfam family: Bacterial small subunit ribosomal RNA
Source: RNAcentral